GUGAGAUCCCAUCUCUACAAAAAUUUUAAAAAAUUAGAUGGGUGUAGUGGCGCAUGCCUGUAGUCCCAGCUACUUGGGAGGCUGAGGCAGGAGGAUCACUUAAGACUGGGAAGUCAAGGCUGCUGUGAGCUGUGAUGGCCCCGCUGCACUCCAGCACUCCAACCUGGGCAACAGAGUGAGGCUCUGUCUCAAAAAAAAAAAAAAAAGAAAAAGAAAAAAGAAACAAGUGGAGUCUGCUGGAACACUAAAGGCAAAAGAAAGUGUUCAGAAGAAUGUACUCUACUUGAUAAAGUUUCCCACAGGGGUAUGGGUUAACAAUUUUGAUAAUCCUACACAUGUAUACUGGACUUGAACAAUUAAGUAAAUGGAUGGUGGAUGUGGAUGAUGGGAACCAGGUUUCCCGUUAUUGGAGUGGGAAUUUAGAGAUAAGCAAGCAGGAAGCAAGCCAAAUGAUCCCUGGAUUCAAGUGGUAAAUAUAAACAGGAACUCAUGUUUAGCUUAAUAUAUAUACAGAUGGUUACAAAUGGAAAUAUAGAUAUGUGUGUAUAUAUAUACACAUUGGUAUAUACAGAUAUAUUUCUUUGUUCUGUCAGUUGAGAAGGCUUAAAAGAAAUGAUACCCCAAGGCCAGGUGUGGUGGCUCACGCCUGUAAUCCCAACACUUUGGGAGGCCAAGGCAGGAGGAUGGCUUGAGGCCGGGAGUUGUAUCAGUCUGGGCAACAUGGCAAGACCUUAUCUCUACAAAAAAAAAAAUUGAAAAUUAAAAUUAGCUGAGUGUGGUGGCACACACCUGUGGUCCUAGCUACUCAGGAGGCUAAGGAGGGAGGAUCACUUGAGCCCAGGAGGUCUAGGCUGCAGUUUUUAUUGUCUUUAAAUUCUCUUCAGAUAAUUUACCCCCGCAUUGCCUACACAGCACACUGCAGAGUGCUGGGCAACUUGGUAAUUAACCCUCUAAUUGUGUAAACUGGAAGCUUCGUGAGGUUAUGGCUUCAUUACCAUGGCUACGUGGCUGUAGCCAUGAGUGUGCACUCCAGUGUGGGUGAUGGAGUGAGACUCUGUCUCAAAAAGGAAGGGAGGGAGGGAGGGAGGGAGGAAGGAAAUAAAUGACACCCUAGUAGCAAUGAGUGCACCUAGCGCCCAGUUCUUGGUUUCUAAUAAAUACCCUUCUCCGAAACAAUCAAAGCUCUUGCGAAAUGGCUGAUUUGAGGACUGGGGCAGGAAAUACGAAAGAUGAGCCUGAGGCAUCUUGUAGUGCCAGAAAGUAAGGAAGUGCUUGACGGCAACGAGAAAACCCCACAAAAAUAGGGGUGUGUCAAAGGGAGACGGGAGCCAACCGAAAGAGCUCCCAAAAGCCAAAGCUGGAACAACUUGAGCAACAAAAUCAAAUAGUAUUGGAUUAUAACCUAAAGUAUUAAAUAAUUAUCUGUGAAUCCAUACUGAUAUAAAUAAAUUACUGAAUAAAUGAGACAAAUCUUCAGUGUAGAAAAAUCCCAAAUAAUCUAUGUAGCUAUUCCAACCUUAAGGAGAUAGAGCAUAACUCCUCACUUAAGUGUGGCCCGAGCAUAGUGACUUCCUUCCAAAGAGUACAGUAUGAAAAGGGGCAAAAGAAGACUGACUUUCCAGUAGAGAAACCUGACGCAGCACCAACAGUGAUGUCAUGUUGCUAUGUGAGAAACCGCCCCAGCCAAGAGGAGCCCAGAGAGACACGACAGCUAGUGCGAUGAGGCAUGCUGGAUGGAUCCUGGAGUAGAAAAAGAUGGAGUAGAAAAAGAACGUUGGGUAAAAACGAAGGAAAUCUGAAUAAACUGUGAACUCUAAUUAAUAAAUAAUGUAUCAUUAUUGGUUUAUUAAUUGGAACAAAU
RNAcentral lists this long non-coding RNA (1861 nucleotides) under Homo sapiens (human). RNAcentral describes it as "non-protein coding NRSN2-AS1:31". The record is from RNAcentral. Lineage: Eukaryota; Metazoa; Chordata; Mammalia; Primates; Hominidae.